RNAcentral lists this unclassified non-coding RNA (210 nucleotides) under Hevea brasiliensis (rubber tree). The record is from RNAcentral. Lineage: Eukaryota; Viridiplantae; Streptophyta; Magnoliopsida; Malpighiales; Euphorbiaceae.
AACAAUAUUGGAUACAAGCAGCUUGUAAGUCAACUUUUGUUCUUCUUUUAUGGUUUAUUGUAGCAUCAUUGGUCCACAGCUCCAGCCCUUUUCAGCCAAAAUAUCCAGGUUUCACAGAUUUUCAACCAGGCUCAUUUCUUUAUUUGGGAUUUGCCAUUGUGUGUGAUUUUACUAUGGUUUCAAAAACAGCCAUUGAAUACAAGUUUUGAG